UUUACCUAAAUAUUCACUUUUGUACACAUUUUCUUUAAAUAUCAGAUGUAUACUAGCUAAAGUUAACUAUUAUUUAGAGUUCUGUAAAAAAAAAAAAUAAAAGCAGAGCUCUAGAUAAUAGAUUUGGAGGGUUGGAGAAAUUGUGGGUAACUACAUUUGAUUAUGCGAAAUUUUCUGAUAAUAGUGAUUUGUUAAAAAUGCUUCUGAUAUUUUUUUUAUAUAUAUAAUAAUAUUUCUGAAAGCAAAUGGACAAUUAAAUCAUAUGGGCAUGAAAAAGCUUUGCAGCCAGGAUAGCAGCUCUAAGGAAGAUGGUCAAUUAAAUCUUCAACCAAAUCUGAGGUCUUACCAUGAAAAAUAUGUGGUUGUUGAAAUUACAAUGUUUUCAUGGUGUCGGGAGUAAGACUUGGAUAUCUGAUAUUGUUAACAUGUUGGCAGUUGAAAGUGUUACUGUUGCUGCCUUAUAUGGUACAAUCCUCGGACAAUAAUCCUGCAAACCAUCGGAUAAACUGUGACC
This is a long non-coding RNA of Mytilus californianus (California mussel), 514 nucleotides long. RefSeq lists it as uncharacterized. The transcript has 3 exons. NCBI's taxonomy places the organism in Eukaryota, Metazoa, Mollusca, Bivalvia, Mytilida, Mytilidae. The record is from RefSeq and is a predicted model, not a curated record.